CCUACGGGGGGCAGCAGUGGGGAAUAUUGGACAAUGGGGGGAACCCUGAUCCAGCCAUGCCGCGUGUGUGAAGAAGGCCCUCGGGUUGUAAAGCACUAUCAGUGAGGAAGAACGCCUGGUGGUUAAUACCCAUCAGGAAAGACAUCACUCACAGAAGAAGCACCGGCUAACUCCGUGCCAGCAGCCGCGGUAAUACGGAGGGUGCGAGCGUUAAUCGGAAUUACUGGGCGUAAAGCGCGCGUAGGUGGCUUGAUAAGCCGGUUGUGAAAGCCCCGGGCUCAACCUGGGAACGGCAUCCGGAACUGUCAAGCUAGAGUGCAGGAGAGGAAGGUAGAAUUCCCGGUGUAGCGGUGAAAUGCGUAGAGAUCGGGAGGAAUAUCAGUGGCGAAGGCGGCCUUCUGGACUGACACUGACACUGAGGUGCGAAAGCGUGGGUAGCAAACAGGAUUAGAUACCCUGGUAGUC
RNAcentral lists this ribosomal RNA (465 nucleotides) under Vreelandella stevensii. RNAcentral's name for it is "partial 16S ribosomal RNA". It matches the Rfam family "Bacterial small subunit ribosomal RNA", at positions 338 to 795 of the family's 1533-position model. The record is from RNAcentral. Lineage: Bacteria; Pseudomonadati; Pseudomonadota; Gammaproteobacteria; Oceanospirillales; Halomonadaceae.